Molecule: long non-coding RNA, 85 nt
Organism: Gopherus evgoodei (Goodes thornscrub tortoise)
Lineage: Eukaryota; Metazoa; Chordata; Testudines; Testudinidae
Exons: 3
Source: RefSeq, a predicted model, not a curated record
UGUGCUUGAUUUAGGAAGAAGAAAAGCAGUGAACAUUUGACAAAUGUUCAGACAUGGAAGGAACUUGAACUGUGAUUGAAAUACA